This 472-nucleotide ribosomal RNA is filed under the name uncultured bacterium. Its description in RNAcentral is "bacterial SSU rRNA". It matches the Rfam family "Bacterial small subunit ribosomal RNA", at positions 355 to 825 of the family's 1533-position model. The record is from RNAcentral.
UGGGGAAUUUUGGACAAUGGGCGCAAGCCUGAUCCAGCCAUGCCGCGUGUGGGAAGAAGGCCUUCGGGUUGUAAACCACUUUUGUCAGGGAAGAAACGGCCUGAUCUAAUACAUUGGGUUAAUGACGGUACCUGAAGAAUAAGCACCGGCUAACUACGUGCCAGCAGCCGCGGUAAUACGAAGGGUGCUAGCGUUGUUCGGAAUCACUGGGCGUAAAGCGCGCGUAGGCGGCGAUAUAAGUCAGAGGUGAAAGCCUGGAGCUCAACUCCAGAACUGCCUUUGAAACUAUAUUGCUAGAGUGUCGGAGGGGAUAGCGGAAUUGCUAAUGUAGAGGUGAAAUUCGUAGAUAUUAGCAGGAACACCGGUGGCGAAGGCGGCUAUCUGGACGACAACUGACGCUGAGGCGCGAAAGCGUGGGGAUCAAACAGGAUUAGAUACCCACGUAGUCCCUGAGCGGGCUGGCAAGGCGCAU